AUUGAACGCUGGCGGCAUGCCUUACACAUGCAAGUCGAACGGCAGCGCGGGGCAACCUGGCGGCGAGUGGCGAACGGGUGAGUAAUAUAUCGGAACAUACCCUAGAGUGGGGGAUAACGUAGCGAAAGUUACGCUAAUACCGCAUACGCACUAAGGUGGAAAGUGGGGGAUUCGCAAGAACCUCAUGCUCAUGGAGUGGCCGAUAUCUGAUUAGCUAGUUGGUGAGGUAAAGGCUCACCAAGGCGACGAUCAGUAGCUGGUUUGAGAGAACGACCAGCCACACUGGAACUGAGACACGGUCCAGACUCCUACGGGAGGCAGCAGUGGGGAAUUUUGGGACAAUGGGGGCAACCCUGAUCCAGCAAUGCCGCGUGAGUGAAGAA
This 383-nucleotide ribosomal RNA is filed under the name uncultured bacterium. Its description in RNAcentral is "bacterial SSU rRNA". It matches the Rfam family "Bacterial small subunit ribosomal RNA", at positions 30 to 412 of the family's 1533-position model. The record is from RNAcentral.